CUUCCUCUUCUCCUUUCCCCUGCAUGUGUCCCCUGUGGCCCUCAAAAGCCAGGUGAUUCCAUGCCUCAGUGAAGAAGAGCCCCAGCCACUUCAUCUCCCAUCGCCCCACCCAACAAUGCGGUACCCCGUGUUCGUCCCACCCACCCUCAAUGAAGACUCGAGCGAUGGUGAGGCCUCUGCAUGCAGUGCGAUACCUGGGCGCGUUUCCCCUCUGUAAGCAGGCUUCCCCUGUGCUUCUUGAAGUUAUGAUCCAUCCGAUCCCGGUAUCCUGUUUGAGGCUGUUUCCGGAACCCGUUCCUAUAUUGCCAAAAGUCAGAGGUGAGGGAGCCCGUAGAAGGGGUCUGUAGAUGCCACUGUCCAGGAGGCUGGUGGACGAGGGCACGGAGAGGACCCGGAGGGGCCAACGGAAGAGAACCAGCAUCCACAGUCAUGGGAUGAGAAUGCUGAUGACUGCCGCAUGGACGUCUCUCAUUUUCCCAUCUAAUCUGUUGGACGGCCCUACGAGGUGGGCACCGUCACCACUCAUUUUACAGACAGGAAGUCAAGUGCAGGAACCAGUGUAAUGGUAUUUGCCCAUCCAGAUGAUCCAGAAUAAUCUCGCAUGACACUAACAUUUAUAAAGUGUCCGGGCCAG
This is a long non-coding RNA of Artibeus jamaicensis (Jamaican fruit-eating bat), 634 nucleotides long. RefSeq lists it as uncharacterized. NCBI's taxonomy places the organism in Eukaryota, Metazoa, Chordata, Mammalia, Chiroptera, Phyllostomidae. The record is from RefSeq and is a predicted model, not a curated record. The transcript is spliced from 3 exons.